GAGAAUAGCAUCAAAAAGAAACAUUACUCGAGCCUCUCUCUCAUUCUGAAGAAUCAAUUCACUAAGAUGCUCACCGGAAUUCACUAUGAUGCACACCGAUCCACACGAAACCUCACAAAUCCCUUCCGCUAAAUUUGAGUUCAUCAAUUGUUUUUAUAAAUCCUAAACCAUCGAUCCGCAUCGCAGCUUUGAAGGUCAUAAUCGUCAGUUCUAAAUCGCUUGCGAAAAUUGGGACGGGAAUGUAGUGAAGCACAUGUUCAGAAGCAUCAAUAAUUAAGCAAGAAUUCGAAACACACAUACCAAUGAGAAUCCGGCGCGGUGGUUCUUCUGCUCCGGCUCCGGUGACGACUUCACAGGUGAUGUAUGAACAGGAAAGUCAAAUGGCAAAUGAUGUCAUUAGUAGCAUCAGAAAUGUUGCAUCAUUGCGCAACAGCAUGAACCAUUGACCGAAUUUUAGUAGUUGCAGACUGUCCGAUAGCAUUCAAUCCAUUGUCAAAAAAAUCAUUACUCGUCGGAGUCAACCGACAUUAGCAUGCGCGGAGCUCUCACUUGCAACUUCCGGAGAAGCAGCCUGCUGGUUUGAAAUAGGGACAGAGGAUGACUGAGCACCAAUUCUAGUAAUGCUUUCCUUUGGUCUAUGUUGUUGUUCAAAUUCGAUCACCAUCCAAAAGAAACACCGACAACGAGAUACUAAUUGCUGAAGUUGGAGCAUGAACAACUGAAUUUCCUCUACUAAAGUGUGGUGCAAUAGCCUCAUGCCUGGGAGCCCCUCUAUAAUGCAGGCUUCAUUGGUAAGAUGAGUCCGUUGAAGUUGAAGCUGAAGCACCAAAGUCAUUCAAUUGAGAGUACACGGUGCUAUGAUGGAGUUGCUUUGAACAAGGAUAAUGUAUUAAGAAAGCUUGUUAUUCAAAUUAGUACUUUGUAGUCUUUUUAAGAAUUUGUGUUGUAACUUAGUCCCUUGUACUCCUUAAAAACAAAAUCAAAACCAAAACCUUUUGGACAA
Lathyrus oleraceus (garden pea) is the source of this 1003-nucleotide long non-coding RNA. RefSeq lists it as uncharacterized. The record is from RefSeq and is a predicted model, not a curated record. The transcript has 3 exons. Lineage: Eukaryota; Viridiplantae; Streptophyta; Magnoliopsida; Fabales; Fabaceae.